UCCUACGGGGGGCAGCAGUAGGGAAUUUUCGUCAAUGGGCGCAAGCCUGAACGAGCAAUGCCGCGUGAACGAGGAAGGUCUUCGGAUCGUAAGGUUCUGUUGAAGGGGAAAAAGAGCGGAGAGAGGAAAUGGUCUCCGAUUGAUAUUACCCUUCGAGGAAGUCACGGCUAACUACGUGCCAGCAGCCGCGGUAAUACGUAGGUGGCGAGCGUUAUCCGGAGUGAUUGGGCGUAAAGGGUGCGUAGGCGGCCUGCUAAGUCUGGAGUGAAAGGUACCGGCUCAACCGGUACAGGCUCUGGAAACUG
This 305-nucleotide ribosomal RNA is filed under the name uncultured bacterium. Its description in RNAcentral is "bacterial SSU rRNA". It matches the Rfam family "Bacterial small subunit ribosomal RNA", at positions 337 to 635 of the family's 1533-position model. The record is from RNAcentral.